UAGGGAAUAUUGUGCAAUGGGGGAAACCCUGACGCAGCAACGCCGCGUGAGUGAUGAAGGCUUUCGGGUCGUAAAGCUCUGUUGCAAGGGAAAAAGAAAGUGAUUGUACCUUGCGAGAAAGGACCGGCAAACUUCGUGCCAGCAGCCGCGGUAAUACGAGGGGUCCUAGCGUUGUUCGGAAUCAUUGGGCGUAAAGAGCUCGUAGGUGGCUUAGUAAGUCGGGUGUGAAAGCCCAGGGCUCAACCCUGGA
This 250-nucleotide ribosomal RNA is filed under the name uncultured bacterium. Its description in RNAcentral is "partial 16S ribosomal RNA". It matches the Rfam family "Bacterial small subunit ribosomal RNA", at positions 355 to 619 of the family's 1533-position model. The record is from RNAcentral.